This 690-nucleotide ribosomal RNA is filed under the name uncultured Anaerolineae bacterium. RNAcentral's name for it is "bacterial SSU rRNA". It matches the Rfam family "Bacterial small subunit ribosomal RNA", at positions 73 to 778 of the family's 1533-position model. Lineage: Bacteria; Bacillati; Chloroflexota; Anaerolineae. The record is from RNAcentral.
UUUUGCUUCGGUAAAUCUCCGAGUGGCGAACGGGUGAGUAACGCGUUGGUGACCUGCCCCGAAGUGGGGGAUAACGGCUCGAAAGGGCUGCUAAUACCCCAUGUGGUCGUAGAGGUUAGAGGCUCUACGUCUAAAGGCGUAAUUCGCUUCGGGAUGGGCCUGCGUCCCAUCAGCUAGUUGGUAGGGUAAUGGCCUACCAAGGCGACGACGGGUAGGGGGCCUCAGAGGGUGACCCCCCACAUUGGCACUGAAACACGGGCCAAACACCUACGGGUGGCAGCAGUAGGGAAUAUUGCACAAUGAGCGAAAGCUUGAUGCAGCAACGCCGCGUGCGCGAUGACGGCCUUCGGGUUGUAAAGCGCUUUUCGGGGAGAUGAGGAAGGACAGUAUCCCCGGAAUAAGUCUCGGCUAACUACGUGCCAGCAGCCGCGGUAACACGUAGGAGGCAAGCGUUAUCCGAAUUUACUGGGCGUAAAGCGCGUGCAGGCGGUUCGGUAAGUUGGAUGUGAAAUCUCCCGGCUCAACUGGGAGAGGACGUUCAAUACUGUCGGACUUGAGGACGAUAGAGGGAGGUGGAAUUCCCGGUGUAGUGGUGAAAUGCGUAGAUAUCGGGAGGAACACCAGUGGCGAAAGCGGCCUCCUGGAUCGUUCCUGACGCUCAGACGCGAAAGCUAGGGGAGCGAACGGGAU